RNAcentral lists this RNase P RNA (364 nucleotides) under Leptospiraceae bacterium. RNAcentral describes it as "RNase P RNA component class A". It matches the Rfam family "Bacterial RNase P class A". From Rfam's summary of the family: Ribonuclease P (RNase P) is a ubiquitous endoribonuclease, found in archaea, bacteria and eukarya as well as chloroplasts and mitochondria. The record is from RNAcentral. Lineage: Bacteria; Pseudomonadati; Spirochaetota; Leptospiria; Leptospirales; Leptospiraceae.
AAAACCUGUCGGAUGAUCGCGCGGCGUAAAUCCUUUUUGCGAGUGAGGAAAGUCCGGACACCUCGAACCGGAGGACCGGGUAAUCCCCGGAAGAUUUGUUUUUCAAAUCUAUGGAAAGUGCCACAGAAAAUAUACCGCUUUUAAAGCAAUUUAAAGGUAAGGGUGAAAAGGCGAGGUAAGAGCUCACCGCUGUUUUUGUAAAAAAACAGGCAUGGUAAACCCUCCUUGGUGCAAUCUCAAGUAAGCAGUCGCAUAGUUUGGUUCGGCUUAGACUGCGGGUAGAGAGCAAAGACUUUUUGGGUAACUAAAAAGCAAGAUAGAUGGUCAUCGAUUACAGAAUCCGGCUUAUAGACAGGUUUAUACU